UAUGAGGGAGAGUCAAAAUGUUCUCAGACAAACGUAAUAAAAAGUUUAUAUAUCAAAAUAGCAAAAUUAUUUUUCUACAUUAGCUCCAUUUGAGCCUCAAGUUUUUUUCAA
This is a long non-coding RNA of Sphaeramia orbicularis (orbiculate cardinalfish), 111 nucleotides long. RefSeq lists it as uncharacterized. NCBI's taxonomy places the organism in Eukaryota, Metazoa, Chordata, Actinopteri, Kurtiformes, Apogonidae. The record is from RefSeq and is a predicted model, not a curated record. The transcript is spliced from 3 exons.